UACAGAGGUGCCAAGCGUUAGGCGGAAUCACUGGGCUUAAAGCGUGUGUAGGCGGGCGGGCAAGUACCUUGUGAAAUCCCACGGCUCAACCGUGGAACUGCUGGGUAUACUGCCUGUCUUGAGCCAGCCAGGGGCAGUCGGAACAGACGGUGGAGCGGUGAAAUGCGUAGAUAUCGUCUGGAACGCCAAAGGUGAAAACAGACUGCUGGGGCUGUGCUGACGCUGAGACACGAAAGCCAGGGGAGCGAACGGG
Molecule: ribosomal RNA, 253 nt
Filed under: uncultured bacterium
Lineage: Bacteria
Description: partial 16S ribosomal RNA
Rfam family: Bacterial small subunit ribosomal RNA
Source: RNAcentral